UGAAUUAAUUGUAUAAGAUGAUUCCAUGAAAGGUUUUUCUCCCAACCUGAGUAAAAUGAUUUGACAAUCUUGACUGUUUCUCUUUACUGAUAAUAUUUCUAAUAGUUGAUGCAAGAUCGAGUAAUUUGAGUUGCGUACCUGAGAUUCUUAUACAUUUAUCUAGAUUUAAAGUUUACUGGUUAUUUUAGUCUACAUAUAUGAUAACUUGUAAAUAUAUGGA
This 220-nucleotide long non-coding RNA is filed under the name Carica papaya (papaya). RNAcentral describes it as "long non-coding RNA (CPAP_LNC013824)". The record is from RNAcentral. Lineage: Eukaryota; Viridiplantae; Streptophyta; Magnoliopsida; Brassicales; Caricaceae.